UUGUGGUCGGUGUACAGGUGGUGCAUGGUUGUCGUCAGCUCGUGUCGUGAGAUGUUGGGUUAAGUCCCGCAACGAGCGCAACCCUCGUCCUAUGUUCGCCAGCGGGUCAUGCCGGGACUCAUGGGAGACUGCCGGGGUCAACUCGGGAGGAAGGUGGGAUGACGUCAAAUCAUCAUGCCCCUUAUGUCUUGGGCUUCACGCAUGCUACAAUGGCCGGUACAAAGGGCUGCGAUACCGCGAGGUGGAGCGAAUCCCAGAAAGCCGGUCUCAGUUCGGAUUGGGGUCUGCAACUCGACCCCAUGAAGUCGGAGUCGCUAGUAAUCGCAGAUCAGCAUGCUGCGGUGAAUACGUUCCCGGGUCUU
This 362-nucleotide ribosomal RNA is filed under the name uncultured Cellulomonas sp. RNAcentral's name for it is "bacterial SSU rRNA". It matches the Rfam family "Bacterial small subunit ribosomal RNA", at positions 1021 to 1382 of the family's 1533-position model. The record is from RNAcentral. Lineage: Bacteria; Bacillati; Actinomycetota; Actinomycetes; Micrococcales; Cellulomonadaceae.